This 786-nucleotide ribosomal RNA is filed under the name uncultured Bacteroidota bacterium. Its description in RNAcentral is "bacterial SSU rRNA". It matches the Rfam family "Bacterial small subunit ribosomal RNA", at positions 558 to 1350 of the family's 1533-position model. Lineage: Bacteria; Pseudomonadati; Bacteroidota. The record is from RNAcentral.
GUUUAAAGGGUCCGCAGGCGGCCUGUUAAGUCAGAGGUGAAAUCCAACAGCUCAACUGUUGAACUGCCUUUGAUACUGAUAGGCUUGAGUUAUUGUGAAGUGGUUAGAAUGUGUGGUGUAGCGGUGAAAUGCUUAGAUAUCACACAGAAUACCCAUUGCGAAGGCAGAUCACUAACAAUAUACUGACGCUCAUGGACGAAAGCGUGGGGAGCGAACGGGAUUAGAUACCCUGGUAGUCCACGCUGUAAACGAUGUUCACUCGCUGUUGGCGAUACACUGUCAGCGGCCAAGCGAAAGCAUUAAGUGAACCACCUGGGGAGUACGAUCGCAAGGUUGAAACUCAAAGGAAUUGACGGGGGCCCGCACAAGCGGUGGAGCAUGUGGAUUAAUUCGAUGAUACGCGAGGAACCUUACCAGGGCUUAAAUGGCAUUUGCCUUUUGCCGAAAGGUGAUUUUUCUUCGGAACGAAUGUCAAGGUGCUGCAUGGCUGUCGUCAGCUCGUGCCGUGAGGUGUUGGGUUAAGUCCCGCAACGAGCGCAACCCCUAUCUCUAGUUGCCAGCAUUUAGUUGGGGACUCUAGAGAGACUGCCUACGUAAGUAGUGAGGAAGGUGGGGACGACGUCAAGUCAUCAUGGCCCUUACAUCCUGGGCGUCACACGUGCUACAAUGGUCGGUACAAAGAGCAGCGACUUGGUGACAAGAAGCAAAUCUCAAAAAGCCGAUCUCAGUUCGGAUUGGAGUCUGCAACUCGACUCCAUGAAGGUGGAUCGCUAGUAAUCGCAUAUC